CUUCAUAGUGAUGAAAUCAUUGACGGAUGUAACGAGUAAUACUCGUGUUGUCCGAGAGCGCUUUAUUCGUGUGGAUAACCCGUUGCCUUCCUUCUGAGUCUUUAC
RNAcentral lists this small nucleolar RNA (105 nucleotides) under Gelatoporia subvermispora B. Its description in RNAcentral is "Small nucleolar RNA Z13/snr52". It matches the Rfam family "Small nucleolar RNA Z13/snr52". Rfam says of the family: Z13 or snr52 is a member of the C/D class of snoRNA which contain the C (UGAUGA) and D (CUGA) box motifs. Most of the members of the box C/D family function in directing site-specific 2'-O-methylation of substrate RNAs. The record is from Rfam by way of RNAcentral. Lineage: Eukaryota; Fungi; Basidiomycota; Agaricomycetes; Polyporales; Gelatoporiaceae.